This 280-nucleotide small RNA is filed under the name Pseudomonas sp. AD21. Its description in RNAcentral is "Xoo8". The record is from RNAcentral. Lineage: Bacteria; Pseudomonadati; Pseudomonadota; Gammaproteobacteria; Pseudomonadales; Pseudomonadaceae.
CUCAGGCCGGUGCUGCGACUGCCGCGAAGAUGAAUCCGCAGGACGAUCUGGACUACCUGGACAUCCCGGCAUUCCUGCGUCGUCAGGCCGAUUGAUGGAAUGUAUCAGGGCUAUGACGGUGAUUGGUGUUCAGCAAAGGCUCGGUCUGCUAUUAUCGCCAGCCUUUGUUGAUACCAGUUCGCAAUUUGCGCUGAAGCGGCCCAAGCCAUGAUUAAACAACGCACACUGAAAAAUAUUAUCCGUGCCACAGGUGUAGGCCUGCAUUCCGGGGAGAAGGUCU